RNAcentral lists this ribosomal RNA (533 nucleotides) under uncultured Thermoactinomycetaceae bacterium. RNAcentral's name for it is "bacterial SSU rRNA". It matches the Rfam family "Bacterial small subunit ribosomal RNA", at positions 413 to 937 of the family's 1533-position model. Lineage: Bacteria; Bacillati; Bacillota; Bacilli; Caryophanales; Thermoactinomycetaceae. The record is from RNAcentral.
GGCCUUCGGGUUGUAAAACUCUGUUCUGCGGGAUGAACGGCAGCCGGGUGAACAGUCCGGUUGAGUGACGGUACCGCAGAAGAAAGCCCCGGCUAACUACGUGCCAGCAGCCGCGGUAAUACGUAGGGGGCAAGCGUUGUCCGGAAUUAUUGGGCGUAAAGGGCGCGCAGGCGGCCUGUUAAGUCUGAUGUGAAAGACCGCGGCUCAACCGCGGGGUGGCAUCAGAAACUGGCAGGCUUGAGUGCAGGAGAGGAGAGUGGAAUUCCCGGUGUAGCGGUGGAAUGCGUAGAGAUCGGGAGGAACACCAGUGGCGAAGGCGGCUCUCUGGCCUGUUACUGACGCUGAGGCGCGAAAGCGUGGGGAGCGAACAGGAUUAGAUACCCUGGUAGUCCACGCCGUANACGAUGAGUGCUAGGUGUUGGGGGUAUCACGCCCUCUGUGCCGAAGGUAACCCAAUAAGCACUCCGCCUGGGGAGUACGGCCGCAAGGCUGAAACUCAAAGGAAUUGACGGGGGCCCGCACAAGCGGUGGAG